ACGAACGCUGGCGGCGUGCUUAACACAUGCAAGUCGAACGGUGACGGAGGAGCUUGCUCCUCCUGAUCAGUGGCGAACGGGUGAGUAACACGUGAGCAAUCUGCCCCUGACUCUGGGAUAACUGCGGGAAACUGUAGCUAAUACCGGAUACGACGCGCGAAGGCAUCUUCUGCGCGUGGAAAGAAUUUCGAUCAGGGAUGAGCUCGCGGCCUAUCAGCUUGUUGGUGAGGUAAUGGCUCACCAAGGCGACGACGGGUAGCCGGCCUGAGAGGGUGACCGGCCACACUGGGACUGAGACACGGCCCAGACUCCUACGGGAGGCAGCAGUGGGGAAUAUUGCACAAUGGGCGCAAGCCUGAUGCAGCAACGCCGCGUGAGGGACGACGGCCUUCGGGUUGUAAACCUCUUUUGGCAGGGAAGAAGCGAAAGUGACGGUACCUGCAGAAAAAGCACCGGCUAACUACGUG
Molecule: ribosomal RNA, 467 nt
Filed under: uncultured bacterium
Lineage: Bacteria
Description: partial 16S ribosomal RNA
Rfam family: Bacterial small subunit ribosomal RNA
Source: RNAcentral